RNAcentral lists this transfer RNA (73 nucleotides) under Patescibacteria group bacterium. Its description in RNAcentral is "tRNA-Ile". It matches the Rfam family "tRNA". From Rfam's summary of the family: Transfer RNA (tRNA) molecules are approximately 80 nucleotides in length. The record is from RNAcentral.
CCGCCCCUAGCUCAAUGGUUAGAGCAAUCGGCUUAUACCCGAUCGGUUCCUGGUUCGAGCCCAGGGGGGCGGA